CUUCACCAUUUGAGACCUUUCCCAUUUUAUGCUUUUUAUUUCCCUGGAGCAAAGACACUGUGUCCUGAACUGGAACCAAAUCUGUUUUGCAGAUAAUCACACGGACUUGUCCUGGGUUUGUCAAACACAUUCUGGCGUAUGGGUGGUCUCGUCCAACCAGAGUCAACAUGGACUCCUUCAGCAUUUUAUUUCUUUCAGGUUGUUGAUGUGGAGCAGAUGAGGAGGAGGUACCUAUUGAGCAGAGGAUUUCUAUAGAAGUGUCAGAGGUCAGGACUCCAAGGCAGAUGUGUCUGCCCAGAGGGCCCACUCCUAUGAGAUAUAUAGCCUGGUCUUGAGAGAGAUUUUGCGUUUGGCUGUGCCAAGGAACACGUACCAGCCAGAAACCCUACACCUAUGGGGCACAUGGGAAAUGAUUAUAUUUUACCGCAAACCUUCCAUAGCUCUGGAAGCAGGACAUUAGAGAGAAACACUUCAGAAGCAGAACUUCAUUCGUGAAGAGCUGCAAGUUCUUUGUGUCAAGGAAGCCCUUUAUCUGUAGGGAGGUUGGGAAGGACUUUUUGACCAGCUCUGGGUCUCUCCAACAAUAAGUCAAAGAGCAGUGCCAAGUGCAUAGUGGCCUUACACGAUAUAGAAAUUCAUUAUAAAUCAGGAGGAUGCUUGAAAACUUGUGAGAACAAAUACACAUUUAUUCAGCACCGGAGAGAGCUUUCUAGAAUAUGAUGUUACGUAUGUAGUGCAUGUGGGAAGUCUUUGACCAAAAGGUACCGCCUCAAUCACCGUUGGAGAGUUCACACUGGGAAAGGGCCUUAGUAAGUGUGCAGAAUGUGGUAAAUUAUUUAGCAUUAAGGCCAGCCUCAUUCCGCAUCAGUGUUCACACUGGGGAAGAGCCUUACGUGUGCGGGGAAUGUGGGAACUUGUUUCCUUACAGAUCCAGUCUCUCUAAUUACCUGAGGUUUCACGCUGAAUCAAGGCCUUAUGAGUGUGGUGAAUGUGGGAAAUCUUUUAGCCAAAGUUCUGUGCUCUUCCAACAUCAGAAUUCACACUGGAGGAAGGCCUCUUGAGUAUGGGGAAUCUGGGAAAUCCUUUAAAUAAAGCUCUGGUGCUCCUUCGGUGUUGGAAAGUUCACCCUGGAUGAAGGCCUUCUGUAUGUGACAACUUCCCCAGCAGAGGCCCUAUCUCAUCAACUACCAGAUAAUUCAUGUAGGAAACUCAGAGGAUUAAUGUAGAUGUGCAGGGAGUGUGCUAGUUCUGUAUUCCUUCUAAUGCUGGAGGUGGCUUAUGAGGGUGCAAUCUGCCUGAAUUUAAUCUCCUACAUCAGAACAGCCACCAAAUUCCAGAUUCAGCAUGAAUAGUUCAUCAUUUUUAUAUCGCUGAGAAGUAUGAUUUUUUUUGAACUACCGCUGCUUGUAUAUUCAUUCAUCUGUUUAUGGAUAUCGACUGCUUUCCGGUACUGGUUGUUACAAAU
Molecule: long non-coding RNA, 1465 nt
Organism: Lontra canadensis (Northern American river otter)
Lineage: Eukaryota; Metazoa; Chordata; Mammalia; Carnivora; Mustelidae
Exons: 2
Source: RefSeq, a predicted model, not a curated record